Molecule: ribosomal RNA, 253 nt
Filed under: uncultured bacterium
Lineage: Bacteria
Description: partial 16S ribosomal RNA
Rfam family: Bacterial small subunit ribosomal RNA
Source: RNAcentral
UACGUAGGGUGCAAGCGUUAAUCGGAAUUACUGGGCGUAAAGCGCGCGUAGGCGGCUUUGUAAGUUAGAGGUGAAAGCCCGGAGCUCAACUCCGGAACUGCCUUUAAAACUGCAUCGCUUGAAUCCAGGAGGGGUGAGUGGAAUUCCGAGUGUAGAGGUGAAAUUCGUAGAUAUUCGGAAGAACACCAGUGGCGAAGGCGGCUCACUGGACUGGUAUUGACGCUGAGGUGCGAAAGCGUGGGGAGCAAACAGG